Molecule: ribosomal RNA, 497 nt
Filed under: uncultured bacterium
Lineage: Bacteria
Description: partial 16S ribosomal RNA
Rfam family: Bacterial small subunit ribosomal RNA
Source: RNAcentral
GAUGAACGCUGGCGGCGUGCCUAAUACAUGCAAGUCGAGCGAACGGACGAGAAGCUUGCUCCUCUGACGUUAGCGGCGGACGGGUGAGUAACACGUGGAUAACCUACCUAUAAGACUGGGAUAACUUCGGGAAACCGUAGCUAAUACCGGAUAAUAUAUUGAACCGCAUGGUUCAAUAGUGAAAGACGGUUUUGCUGUCACUUAUAGAUGGAUCCGCGCGGCAUUAGCUAGUUGGUAAGGUAACGGCUUACCAAGGCAACGAUGCGUAGCCGACCUGAGAGGGUGAUCGCCCACACUGGAACUGAGACACGGUCCAGACUCCUACGGGAGGCAGCAGUAGGGAAUCUUCGGCAAUGGGCGAAAGCCUGACGCAGCAACGCCGCGUGAGUGAUGAAGGUCUUCGGAUCGUAAAACUCUGUUAUUAGGGAAGAACAUAUGUGUAUGAAACUGUGCCCGUCUUGACGGUACCUAAUCAAAAAGCCCCGGCUAACUACGUG